This 140-nucleotide ribosomal RNA is filed under the name uncultured Kineosporia sp. Its description in RNAcentral is "partial 16S ribosomal RNA". It matches the Rfam family "Bacterial small subunit ribosomal RNA", at positions 355 to 507 of the family's 1533-position model. The record is from RNAcentral. Lineage: Bacteria; Bacillati; Actinomycetota; Actinomycetes; Kineosporiales; Kineosporiaceae.
UGGGGAAUAUUGGGCAAUGGAGGAAACUCUGACCCAGCGACGCCGCGUGAGGGAUGAAGGCCUUCGGGUUGUAAACCUCUUUCAGUAGGGAAGAAGCGAAAGUGACGGUACCUAAAGAAGAAGCACCGGCUAACUAUGUG